Molecule: long non-coding RNA, 314 nt
Filed under: Capsicum annuum
Lineage: Eukaryota; Viridiplantae; Streptophyta; Magnoliopsida; Solanales; Solanaceae
Description: long non-coding RNA (CANN_LNC004850)
Source: RNAcentral
UCUAAUCCUCCUAUCUUAAUGGUGUUGUUGUAGACUGUUAUCUUCAACGUUUUUGGGUACAAGAAUCUGUAUAUAUAUGCAACAAUAAUUUCAACACAAGUUCAAGUUUAAGGCAAGAACACUUAUGAAGUUCUUUAACACCUUCAACACAAGAUUACGAAUAAUCUAUCCAAGAAGUAUGUUAAUUUUCAGAAAUGAGAUGAAAUAGAAUUUUUUUUUUUAAGGCCAAGUACCCCAACUUCACGGAGUAUCCUUAAAGAAUAAUUCCCCUCACUGUACCUGAGGUUAUGGAAUCUUCCUCCCAGGAUAAAAUG